UUCAGCGGCGGACGGGUGAGUAAUGCCUAGGAAUCUGCCCGAUAGUGGGGGACAACGAUUUCGAAAGGAACGCUAAUACCGCAUACGUCCUACGGGAGAAAGCAGGGGACCUUCGGGCCUUGCGCUAUCGGAUGAGCCUAGGUCGGAUUAGCUAGUUGGUGGGGUAAAGGCUCACCAAGGCGACGAUCCGUAACUGGUCUGAGAGGAUGAUCAGUCACACUGGAACUGAGACACGGUCCAGACUCCUACGGGAGGCAGCAGUGGGGAAUAUUGGACAAUGGGCGAAAGCCUGAUCCAGCCAUGCCGCGUGUGUGAAGAAGGUCUUCGGAUUGUAAAGCACUUUAAGCUGGGAGGAAGGGCAGUAAGUUAAUACCUUGCUGCUUUGACGUUACCAGCAGAAUAAGCACCGGCUAACUUCGUGCCAGCAGCCGCGGUAAUACGAAGGGUGCAAGCGUUAAUCGGAAUUACUGGGCGUAAAGCGCGCGUAGGUGGUUCAGCAAGUUGGAUGUGAAAGCCCCGGGCUCAACCUGGGAACUGCAUCCAAAACUACUGGGCUAGAGUAUGGUAGAGGGUGGUGGAAUUUCCUGUGUAGCGGUGAAAUGCGUAGAUAUAGGAAGGAACACCAGUGGCGAAGGCGACCACCUGGACUAAUACUGACACUGAGGUGCGAAAGCGUGGGGAGCAAACAGGAUUAGAUACCCUGGUAGUCCACGCCGUAAACGAUGUCAACUAGUUGUUGGGUUCCUUGAGGACUUAGUAACGAAGCUAACGCGAUAAGUUGACCGCCUGGGGGAGUACGGCCGCAAGGUUAAACUCAAAUGAAUUGACGGGGGCCCGCACAAGCGGUGGAGCAUGUGGUU
Molecule: ribosomal RNA, 860 nt
Filed under: uncultured bacterium
Lineage: Bacteria
Description: bacterial SSU rRNA
Rfam family: Bacterial small subunit ribosomal RNA
Source: RNAcentral